Molecule: ribosomal RNA, 441 nt
Filed under: uncultured bacterium
Lineage: Bacteria
Description: partial 16S ribosomal RNA
Rfam family: Bacterial small subunit ribosomal RNA
Source: RNAcentral
CCUACGGGAGGCAGCAGUGAGGAAUAUUGGUCAAUGGGCGCGAGCCUGAACCAGCCAAGUAGCGUGAAGGAUGACUGCCCUACGGGUUGUAAAGCUCUUUCGGACGUGACGAUGAUGACGGUAGCGUCUAAAGAAGCACCGGCAAACUUCGUGCCAGCAGCCGCGGUAAUACGAAGGGUGCGAGCGUUGUUCGGAAUUACUGGGCGUAAAGGGAGUGUAGGCGGAUAUGUAAGAUAGCGGUGAAAUGCCGGGGCUCAACCCCGGAACUGCCAUUAUGACUAUGUAUCUAGAGUAAUGGAGAGGAUAGCGGAAUACCCAGUGUAGAGGUGAAAUUCGUAGAUAUUGGGUAGAACACCGGUGGCGAAGGCGGCUAUCUGGCCAUUUACUGACGCUGAGGCUCGAAAGCAUGGGGAUCAAACAGGAUUAGAUACCCGGGUAGUC